GCUGGUUAAUUUCUGUUAUUAAGACUCACAUUCUCUGGUACAUGCUACUGUCACCAGAGUCGACAGCACCUUUUCACUGGCUGAAGACAUUCCUGUACUGGAACACAACACCGCAUUUUUUUUGCACAGCCUUUGUGUUAUAGUUUGAAAACAGAGGCCUUUAUCAGAGAGAAGCCUGACAACAUUUUUCUUUGUAAUCUCACAUCAACAAUCCUCUUUCUUCAAUUUUGAAGGUACUCAGAGAAUGGAAGGGCCAGUAAGGAGGCUGAGCUAAGUCACUGCUACAGGUAGCAAGGAACUGCAUCUCAUUCCUGGUGACAUUGCUGUGGAGAUGCACGAGAGGAACACCAAAAUCCAAACUUGCAGCAGUGCUGUUAAUGGCUGCAAAGAAGUGAAACAUAGCCCAAAAGUACAAAUGAGUUUGUCUCCAGUGGUGCAAAUAUACUCCUAGUCCAACUUCUUCAUUGCAGAGGGAUGUUACAGCCUGCUUUGCCUUGUGUGAGGUUAUUUCUUUACGGACCAUAAAGGUACAAAAUAAUGUACACCAUGAGAGGGACAUUGGCACUCUCUGGAGAUCGUUUUUCCCUACUUGAAGGAUCAUUAUGCUAUAGUAGACUCAUUCCACAAAGUAUUUUUCAGGGAGAGUUCAAAUAUCUUUUCAAAUAUCUGUAUUCUUUAUUUGUGCCCAUCAUAAAGUAAUUAAAACUCAGUUAAUAUGUAGAAUAAAAUGAAGCAGUGUAAUGCUGUGGUUCUGCAGUAAGCCAUAUAAAAUUUGUGAAUGUGGGAUUUCCUGGCAGUUGAAAUUUGAUCUAUAUUGGUGUGAGCACACGACUGCAUUUUUACCAAAUGAGCCCCAGCAUAUGUUACAUUGUUUAUUCAGGGUUUAUGCCAGCUUUCUGUCAAUUGAGCUGGAUAAAUUAUACCUGAUCCAGCACAAAGUUAGAAUGGUACAAACAGACAGUAUCUCAUCUGAUAGGACCUCUCCUGGGACAAAAUUAUUUCUUCAAACUAUUUAGAAUAACACAGAAUGAUAGCCUACCACCCUAAUAUGCUGUAAAUACUGCACAGACUUUAGAAAAAUCUGUUUCAAGUCAAAGCAUGUCUAUACCUGAUUAGCUGUAAAUAGACUGACAAUUUUUUCCUCAGAGGGAAAGAAGGGGAAAAUCACAAAUUCACAUGAUAUUUUACACCUUAGGCAAGUACAGAAACGUUCCAGAAUAUGAUUUGUAUAGAAAUCUUGAGUGUACUCAUGUGUAAAUGUAAAUAAUGAGGUGGGAAAAAAAGAGUCAUAGUGAUAGUUAGAAACAUAAUUCUGGAAAUUAUUUGGUUGAGUUUGGAUCCAUAUUAUCAAAGAAAAGGGAUUUGAUUUUGUGUGUCUCACCAUGUUUGGUCUUUUAAAUAUGUAGCUGAUGUGUCAUAUUAUGGAUCCUUGGCAUUUCAUCCUUAAGCAGAACUGUCAUGACAAUAGUUGUGGGAAGUGAAGAUAGCAAACCAGAACAUAAAGUGUCAACCCGAUGAUUUUUGAGAUCUCCUAAGCUGGAGGGCCAAAUCCAUCAUCUCUUAAAACAAAUGGAUCUGGGAACUUGGAGCAGACCUGGCAAAAGGAUAUGAUGGCAGCUUGGAAUAAACUGAAAGGAGUAUUAUCCCUGACAAACUUGAGGCUGAUGAUUUACAGUCAGGUGCUAAGAGCACUGCUGUUUCUCCAACCCCUGCUCUGGUCCCUGAAUGGCAGGCGAAGUCCCUCACAAACACUGGUAAAGGAUUACUGCUGCCUCAGAUUAUUGACAGUACUUAAAGUUAUGGACCGUAGCCCUGUAACCAGCCAGUGCACAUGCAGGGUUUCAUUUUACUGCCCUAAACAACUUAGGGCUACUCAUGAUUAAACUUCAGGUUCUGGGCAUACACUUCACAUGUUUUAUGUCUGAGCUUUCUGGAUUGGUCACACCCCAGUUUCACAUCCAUGUUGCUGGAAAAGACUACGAAGGCACUGAAGGAUAAAUG
Molecule: long non-coding RNA, 2001 nt
Organism: Parus major (Great Tit)
Lineage: Eukaryota; Metazoa; Chordata; Aves; Passeriformes; Paridae
Exons: 5
Source: RefSeq, a predicted model, not a curated record